ACAGCAGUAGCCGCGGGAAUACGUAGGGGGCGAGCGUUGUCCGAAGUUACUGGGCGUAAAGCGCGCGUAGGCGGCUUCUUAAGUCUGAGGUGAAAGGUUCAACGCUUAACGUGAACAGUGCCUUGGAUACUGGGGAGCUUGAGUAUGGGAGAGGGCAGUGGAAUGGCUGGUGUAGCGGUGAAAUGCGUAGAUAUCAGUCGGAACACCCAUGGCGAAGGCAGCUGCCUGGCCUAAUACUGACGCUGAGGUGCGAAAGCGUGGGGAGCGAACGGGAUUAGAUACCCCCGUAGUCCCUGUCUCUUAUA
This 305-nucleotide ribosomal RNA is filed under the name uncultured bacterium. RNAcentral's name for it is "partial 16S ribosomal RNA". It matches the Rfam family "Bacterial small subunit ribosomal RNA", at positions 506 to 808 of the family's 1533-position model. The record is from RNAcentral.